This 505-nucleotide ribosomal RNA is filed under the name uncultured bacterium. RNAcentral describes it as "partial 16S ribosomal RNA". It matches the Rfam family "Bacterial small subunit ribosomal RNA", at positions 28 to 507 of the family's 1533-position model. The record is from RNAcentral.
GACGAACGCUGGCGGCGUGCCUAAUACAUGCAAGUAGAACGCACAGUUUAUACCGUAGCUUGCUCCACCAUAGACUGUGAGUUGCGAACGGGUGAGUAACGCGUAGGUAACCUGCCUGGUAGCGGGGGAUAACUAUUGGAAACGAUAGCUAAUACCGCAUAAUAUUAAUUAUUGCAUGAUAAUUAAUUGAAAGGUGCAAUUGCACCACUACCAGAUGGACCUGCGUUGUAUUAGCUAGUAGGUGAGGUAACGGCUCACCUAGGCGACGAUACAUAGCCGACCUGAGAGGGGUAUCGGCCAAACUGGGACUGGGACACGGCCCAGACUCCUACGGGAGGCAGCAGUAGGGAAUCUUCGGCAAUGGACGAAAGGCUGACCGAGCAACGCCGCGUGAGUGAAGAAGGUUUUCGGAUCGUAAAGCUCUGUUGUAAGAGAAGAACGGGUGUGAGAGUGGAAAGUUCACACUGUGACGGUAUCUAACCAGAAAGGGACGGCUAACUACGUG